GAGUACUACAAGCCACAGCUUAAAACUCAAAGGACUUGGUGGUGCUCUACACCCACCUAGAGGAGCCUGUUCUAUAAUCGAUAUCCCCCGAUAAACCUCACCUUUUUUUGCUAAUUCAGCCUAUAUACCACCGCCCUCAGCUAACCUCUCAAGAGAAUAACAGUAAGCAAAAUAAUUUAAAAUAAAAAAGCCAGGUCAAGGUGUAGCAUAUAAAAAGGAAAGAAAUGGGCUACAUUUUUUAUAUUAAAAAAUACGGAAUAUUUUAUGAAAUAAAGUAUAAAGGAGGAUUUAGAAGUAAAAAGAAAAAAGAGAGCUCUUUUUAAAUCGGCAAUAGAGUGCGC
RNAcentral lists this ribosomal RNA (341 nucleotides) under Speleomantes genei (Sardinian cave salamander). Its description in RNAcentral is "Hydromantes genei (Sardinian cave salamander) partial 12S ribosomal RNA". Lineage: Eukaryota; Metazoa; Chordata; Amphibia; Caudata; Plethodontidae. The record is from RNAcentral.